This 139-nucleotide ribosomal RNA is filed under the name uncultured Rhodococcus sp. RNAcentral describes it as "partial 16S ribosomal RNA". It matches the Rfam family "Bacterial small subunit ribosomal RNA", at positions 355 to 507 of the family's 1533-position model. Lineage: Bacteria; Bacillati; Actinomycetota; Actinomycetes; Mycobacteriales; Nocardiaceae. The record is from RNAcentral.
UGGGGAAUAUUGCACAAUGGGCGAAAGCCUGAUGCAGCGACGCCGCGUGGGGAUGACGGCCUUCGGGUUGUAAACCUCUUUCAGCAGGGACGAAGCGCAAGUGACGGUACCUGCAGAAGAAGCACCGGCCAACUACGUG